RNAcentral lists this transfer RNA (42 nucleotides) under Cineraria geifolia. Its description in RNAcentral is "partial tRNA-Phe". The record is from RNAcentral. Lineage: Eukaryota; Viridiplantae; Streptophyta; Magnoliopsida; Asterales; Asteraceae.
GUUGGGAUAGCUCAGUHGGUAGAGCAGAGGACUGAAAAUCUC